AAUCCCAGCUACUUGGGAGGCUGGGGCACAAGAACCGCCUGAACCCAGGAGGCAGAGGUUGCAGUGAGCCAAGAUUGCACCACUGCAUUCCAGCCUGGGUGACAAAG
RNAcentral lists this small nuclear RNA (107 nucleotides) under Homo sapiens (human). The record is from RNAcentral. Lineage: Eukaryota; Metazoa; Chordata; Mammalia; Primates; Hominidae.